This 430-nucleotide ribosomal RNA is filed under the name bacterium. Its description in RNAcentral is "partial 16S ribosomal RNA". It matches the Rfam family "Bacterial small subunit ribosomal RNA", at positions 355 to 776 of the family's 1533-position model. The record is from RNAcentral.
UGGGGAAUAUUGGACAAUGGGCGGAAGCCUGAUCCAGCCAUGCCGCGUGUGUGAAGAAGGCCUUUUGGUUGUAAAGCACUUUAAGCGAGGAGGAGGCUACUUGGAUUAAUACUCUAGGAUAGUGGACGUUACUCGCAGAAUAAGCACCGGCUAACUCUGUGCCAGCAGCCGGGGUAAUACAGAGGGUGCGAGCGUUAAUCGGAUUUACUGGGCGUAAAGCGUGCGUAGGCGGCUUCUUAAGUCGGAUGUGAAAUCCCUGAGCUUAACUUAGGAAUUGCAUUAGAUACUGGGAAGCUAGAGUAUGGGAGAGGAUGGUAGAAUUCCAGGUGUAGCGGUGAAAUGCGUAGAGAUCUGGAGGAAUACCGAUGGCGAAGGCAGCCAUCUGGCCUAAUACUGACGCUGAGGUACGAAAGCAUGGGGAGCAAACAGG